GGUAAGGUUAGGUUCUGUAAGGGCAAGGGUGUCACUCGAGGUUAGACUAGCCUUCCACCAUCCUCCCCGUUAUAUAUCACCGUCGCAUUUUCAACCUUCCCGGCGAUGUUUUCUGCAUUAAUUCAUGUCCCCGAAUUACCAUUAUGCAUCACCGGCUCCGAAUGUCCCAGGCAGGGGUCGUAAUGAAGCCCCAAUUACUCCACAACAUUUACCUGCUCGGCGCCUCAUCAGCGGCCCGCAUGAGAUAGUUUUACACAUUUAUGCAGCAUUUGUUCGGUUUGCAGGUUUCAUAUAUCUUCAUUUUAUCAGCGCCGGAAAGAGUAAGAAAUAAAAAUACAGUCUCGUCCUGCAUUAGGGGGGGCUUCGUGGUGCAGUGGUUAGCACACUCGGCUCACAAUCGAGAGAGCCCGGGUUCGAUUCCCGGGGGGAGUGGAAAAACUUGGGCGGCUUUUCCGAUACCCUACGCCCCUGUCCACCCAGCAGUGAAUGGGUACCAGGUAUUAAUCGGGGGUUGUGUCCCGUCUCCUGGGGUCUGUUCCCUUCUCCUAUAAUUCCUUCCCCUCCUGUCUCUCCGGCAUAUGACCACAGAUGUUGCGCCGACUAAACGAAGCUUUCC
Molecule: long non-coding RNA, 616 nt
Organism: Eriocheir sinensis (Chinese mitten crab)
Lineage: Eukaryota; Metazoa; Arthropoda; Malacostraca; Decapoda; Varunidae
Exons: 2
Source: RefSeq, a predicted model, not a curated record